Molecule: ribosomal RNA, 243 nt
Filed under: Triticum aestivum (bread wheat)
Lineage: Eukaryota; Viridiplantae; Streptophyta; Magnoliopsida; Poales; Poaceae
Description: partial small subunit ribosomal RNA
Source: RNAcentral
AUGCUGGCCUUGAAAGAGAUUCUUAGGAAAUAUGAGGAAGCAUUCGGGCAACGCAUUAAUCUGCAGAAGUCGGCAAUAUUUUUUGGCAAAGGGAGUCAAGAGAAUGCAAAGGUACAACUAAAAAAUAUUUUGGGCGUGGAUAAUGAAGCACUCAGCGAAAGAUAUUUGGGCCUCCCAACACUAGUUGAUAGGUCCAAAGAAGGGACAUUCAAAUAUGUUAGUGAGUGUUUGAAAGGAAAAGUA